GAUGAACGCUGGCGGCGUGCCUAAUACAUGCAAGUCGAGCGAACAGAUGAGGAGCUUGCUCCUCUGACGUUAGCGGCGGACGGGUGAGUAACACGUAGAUAACCUACCUAUAAGACUGGGAUAACUUCGGGAAACCGGAGCUAAUACCGGAUAAUAUAUUGAACCGCAUGGUUCAAUAGUGAAAGACGGUUUUGCUGUCACUUAUAGAUGGAUCCGCGCCGCAUUAGCUAGUUGGUAAGGUAACGGCUUACCAAGGCAACGAUGCGUAGCCGACCUGAGAGGGUGAUCGGCCACACUGGAACUGAGACACGGUCCAGACUCCUACGGGAGGCAGCAGUAGGGAAUAUUCCGCAAUGGGCGAAAGCCUGACGGAGCAACGCCGCGUGAGUGAUGAAGGUCUUCGGAUCGUAAAACUCUGUUAUUAGGGAAGAACAAAUGUGUAAGUAACUAUGCACGUUUUGACGGUACCUAAUCAGAAAGCCACGGCUAACUACGUG
Molecule: ribosomal RNA, 497 nt
Filed under: uncultured bacterium
Lineage: Bacteria
Description: partial 16S ribosomal RNA
Rfam family: Bacterial small subunit ribosomal RNA
Source: RNAcentral